GCAGUGGUGGUUCAGUGGUAGAAUUCCCACCUUCCGUGCCGGAGACCUGGGCUUGAUUCUCAGCCAGCGCA
Molecule: transfer RNA, 71 nt
Filed under: Loxodonta africana (African savanna elephant)
Lineage: Eukaryota; Metazoa; Chordata; Mammalia; Proboscidea; Elephantidae
Rfam family: tRNA
About the family: Transfer RNA (tRNA) molecules are approximately 80 nucleotides in length. Their secondary structure includes four short double-helical elements and three loops (D, anti-codon, and T loops).
Source: Rfam by way of RNAcentral